UUCCUACGGGGGGCAGCAGUGGGGAAUAUUGGGCAAUGGACGCAAGUCUGACCCAGCAACGCCGCGUGAAGGAAGAAGGCUUUCGGGUUGUAAACUUCUUUUAAGGGGGAAGAGGAGAAGACGGUACCCCUUGAAUAAGCCACGGCUAACUACGUGCCAGCAGCCGCGGUAAUACGUAGGUGGCAAGCGUUGUCCGGAUUUACUGGGUGUAAAGGGCGUGCAGCCGGGCUGACAAGUCAGAUGUGAAAUCCGUGGGCUUAACCCGCGAACUGCAUUUGAAACUAUUGGUCAUGAGUGCCGGAGCG
RNAcentral lists this ribosomal RNA (305 nucleotides) under uncultured bacterium. Its description in RNAcentral is "bacterial SSU rRNA". It matches the Rfam family "Bacterial small subunit ribosomal RNA", at positions 336 to 656 of the family's 1533-position model. The record is from RNAcentral.